RNAcentral lists this ribosomal RNA (449 nucleotides) under uncultured bacterium. RNAcentral's name for it is "partial 16S ribosomal RNA". It matches the Rfam family "Bacterial small subunit ribosomal RNA", at positions 30 to 523 of the family's 1533-position model. The record is from RNAcentral.
AUUGAACGCUGGCGGCAUGCCUAACACAUGCAUGUCGAACGAACUCUUCGGAGUUAGUGGCGGACGGGUGAGUAACACGUGGGAACGUGCCUUUAGGUUCGGAAUAACUCAGGGAAACUUGUGCUAAUACCGAAUGUGCCCUUCGGGGGAAAGAUUUAUCGCCUUUAGAGCGGCCCGCGUCUGAUUAGCUAGUUGGUGAGGUAAAGGCUCACCAAGGCGACGAUCAGUAGCUGGUCUGAGAGGAUGAUCAGCCACAUUGGGACUGAGACACGGCCCAAACUCCUACGGGAGGCAGCAGUGGGGAAUUUUGCGCAAUGGGCGAAAGCCUGACGCAGCCAUGCCGCGUGAAUGAUGAAGGUCUUAGGAUUGUAAAAUUCUUUCACCGGGGACGAUAAUGACGGUACCCGGAGAAGAAGCCCCGGCUAACUUCGUGCCAGCCGCCGCAGUAA